GCGAAAACUUUACAAUGCUGGCAACAGCGAUAAGGGAAUCUCGAGUGCCAGGUUACAAAUCUGGCUGUCGAGAUGCCUAAAAAGCAUUUCAUAGCAAGGGCCGGGCAAGACCGGUGCCAGCCGCCGCGGUAACACCGGCGGCUCGAGUGGUAACCGUUAUUAUUGGGUCUAAAGGGUCUGUAGUCGGCCGGAUAAGUCUCUUGAGAAAUCUGGCAGCUUAACUGUCAGGCUUUCAGGAGAUACUGUCUGGCUCGAGGCCGGGAGAGGUGAGAGGUACUUCAGGGGUAGGGGUGAAAUCUUGUAAUCCUUGAAGGACCACCAGUGGCGAAGGCGUCUCACCAGAACGGACCUGACGGCAAGGGACGAAAGCUAGGGGCACGAACC
Molecule: ribosomal RNA, 384 nt
Filed under: uncultured prokaryote
Description: bacterial SSU rRNA
Rfam family: Archaeal small subunit ribosomal RNA
Source: RNAcentral